RNAcentral lists this ribosomal RNA (252 nucleotides) under uncultured bacterium. RNAcentral describes it as "partial 16S ribosomal RNA". It matches the Rfam family "Bacterial small subunit ribosomal RNA", at positions 524 to 776 of the family's 1533-position model. The record is from RNAcentral.
UACGGAGGAUGCAAGCGUUAUCCGGAUUUAUUGGGUUUAAAGGGUGCGUAGGCGGAGUGCCAAGUCAGCGGUAAAAAUUCGGGGCUCAACCCCGUCGUGCCGUUGAAACUGGCGCCCUUGAGUGGGCGAGAAGUAUGCGGAAUGCGUGGUGUAGCGGUGAAAUGCAUAGAUAUCACGCAGAACCCCGAUUGCGAAGGCAGCAUACCGGCGCCCGACUGACGCUGAAGCACGAAAGCGUGGGUAUCGAACAGG